RNAcentral lists this transfer RNA (73 nucleotides) under Melopsittacus undulatus (budgerigar). RNAcentral's name for it is "tRNA-Ser (GGA) (tRNA-Ser-GGA-1-1)". It matches the Rfam family "tRNA". Rfam says of the family: Transfer RNA (tRNA) molecules are approximately 80 nucleotides in length. The record is from RNAcentral. Lineage: Eukaryota; Metazoa; Chordata; Aves; Psittaciformes; Psittaculidae.
CAUUCGAUAGCUCAGCUGGUAGAGUGGAGGACUGGAGAUCCUUAGGUCGCUGGUUCAACUCCGGCUCGAAGGA